GGAGCAUAGGCUGCAGCAAAGAGGACUGUGCCAAAUACGUCAAUAUACUUUUGUGGCAUUUUGUUGAUUGGAGAAAAACAUUUUAAUAGGGUUGGGAGAGUAAACCUUCGUGAAAGAGGAGGUCUUUAUAUGCAAGGUUAUAUGACAACAGCUUUUUUCUUCAAUCCUGUAUGUGAGGAAGAUGGGGAGAGACAAGGAGACAGGAGAUGUCUAACCAAAAUCCAUCCAGAUUUCAUGAUAUAUUGACCUGUUUUCUCAGUGGUGGUAAUUCACCUCUAAUGUUGUUGGAACCUUCUCUACAUCUGAUACAUAACACAAUCUUGAGAAAGAAAAGGAUGAGCGAUACAUAGCUGAUGUGAACUGCAGAAAAGUUAUUUUUAUAGACUGGAAUACCCUUUGGUAGAAGCUGGAGGUAGUGAUAGAAUCAUUGAACUGAACAGACCUUGAAGACCCGUAGACUAAAUGACUUUCAAACAACUCUAGAGAAAUCUUUCACCGAUGAUAGCCAACUGACUUCCCUAAACACCAACUGAAUUGAGGCUUGGACAGAUGACAUUCAUUUUGACUGCCAACAUUCAGUUCAGUUCUUCUUUUGUUUUAUAAAAGAACAGAGACGAAAGAUAGUGAAACAACAUAACUCAAGGAAAAUUCCUAAUAAAUCCUUCAAUAGGAAUGCACAUCCUUAAUUCAUAUUUGAUUCUCUGAUCAAAAGGUUCUAGAAGGCUGUGGGUGAUCUGGGAGUCUACAUGUGCUCAGCAAUUAAAAGAGUGUUCUGUCCUCCCGCCCCAGUUUGCAGAAUUUUAUUGCGGAAUAUCUUUUGUUUAUACUGCUUGAGAUUCAUCAGAUCUGAGAAGGUGGCCUCUAUAGAUGAGCUAUUAAAAGUUUCCUUUUAUGAAAGUUAGCUUCCAAAUGACGAGUUUAAUUGGAUUUCUAUUGUUCUCCUUGUUACAAUUAAUGCUGGAACUUUAACCUGUUUGUGCCCCUUUCCUUGACUGAUGUAUACUUGGGAGGUUUAAUGCUGCUCUCUGGUUUAGAAAAGCCAUUGUUCCUGAAAAGGAAAUUAUGCAUUCUAAGAGAAAUAAAACAACCCAUGUUCUUAGUAUUGCUAUCAAAUAUAUUAUAGUUUAAUAUUAAAAACAGAAUUCCAAUUGAAAUGUUCAGGCCAAUUGUAGAAAUGUUUAGAGCUGGGACAUUCCUUUGUGAUGUCCUCUUAAUUUUUAAGAAACUGUUAAAAUAACUACCAAACAAGAUUAAUAUUGAUUUCUGGCAUUUGGUAGAAAUAAACUCUUUUAUGGGCUAUUUUAAAUGUCAAGAUCAAUGAUUCAGCUUGUAUGACUCUGAGUAUGACUUUCCAUACAAUAGUCAAGUAGCUGUGAAUUUGUUUCAUGACUUCAUUAUGUGACCUUGAUUGCAAGACAAUCCUAUAACAAACAUGUAAUAGUGAAUUUCUUCAAAAAGCUGUUGUAAAGGUAGUGCAUAGCAACAUAAGUAGAAGCUGCAAAUUUAAAUUCAUACUUGAAAUAUCCCGUUUUCUUCUAAAUAUAAUAUGCCAUUUUUUGCUAUCAUAGUCAA
Crotalus tigris (Tiger rattlesnake) is the source of this 1572-nucleotide long non-coding RNA. RefSeq lists it as uncharacterized. The record is from RefSeq and is a predicted model, not a curated record. The transcript is spliced from 4 exons. Lineage: Eukaryota; Metazoa; Chordata; Lepidosauria; Squamata; Viperidae.